RNAcentral lists this ribosomal RNA (447 nucleotides) under uncultured bacterium. RNAcentral's name for it is "bacterial SSU rRNA". It matches the Rfam family "Bacterial small subunit ribosomal RNA", at positions 355 to 825 of the family's 1533-position model. The record is from RNAcentral.
UGGGGAAUCUUGGACAAUGGGCGCAAGCCUGAUCCAGCCAUGCCGCGUGGAUGAUGAAGGCCUUAGGGUUGUAAAAUCCUUUCGCCGAGGACGAUAAUGACGGUACUCGGAGAAGAAGCUCCGGCUAACUUCGUGCCAGCAGCCGCGGUAAUACGAAGGGGGCUAGCGUUGUUCGGAUUUACUGGGCGUAAAGCGCGUGUAGGCGGGUCGUUAAGUUGGGGGUGAAAUCCCGAGGCUCAACCUCGGAACUGCCUUCAAAACUGGCGACCUGGACCUAAGUAGAGGCAAGUGGAAUUGCGAGUGUAGAGGUGAAAUUCGUAGAUAUUCGCAGGAACACCAGUGGCGAAGGCGACUUGCUGGACUUAUGGUGACGCUGAGACGCGAAAGCGUGGGGAGCAAACAGGAUUAGAUACCCGGGUAGUCCCUGAGCGGGCUGGCAAGGCGCAU